UUGGAGGGCAAGUCUGGUGCCAGCAGCCGCGGUAAUUCCAGCUCCAAUAGCGUAUAUUAAAGUUGUUGCAGUUAAAAAGCUCGUAGUUGAACUUCGGGGUCUACCCAUUGGUCAGGCUUAAUUGUCUGCACUGGUGAGAUGGAUCUCUACCUUCUGAGGAACUUUCAUGCCAUUUAUUUAGUGUGAUUGGAAAUCAGGACUGUUACUUUGAAAAAAUUAGAGUGUUUAAAGCAGACUAUCGUCUGAAUACAUUAGCAUGGAAUAAUGAAAUAGGACGGACUGAUUCUAUUUCGUUGGUUUCUAGGAUCACCGUAAUGAUUAAUAGGGAUAGUUGGGGGCAUUAGUAUUCAAUUGUCAGAGGUGAAAUUCUUGGAUUUAUUGAAGACUAACUACUACGAAAGCAUUUGCCAAGGAUGUUUUCAUUAAUCAAGAACGAAAGUUAGGGGAUCGAAGACGAUCAGAUACCGUCGUAGUCUUAACCAUAAACUAUGCCGACUAGGGAUCGGACGAAGUUAAUUUUAUAAUGACGCGUUCGGCGCCUUACGGAAAC
RNAcentral lists this ribosomal RNA (550 nucleotides) under uncultured Glomeromycotina. RNAcentral describes it as "SSU rRNA". It matches the Rfam family "Eukaryotic small subunit ribosomal RNA", at positions 548 to 1098 of the family's 1831-position model. The record is from RNAcentral. Lineage: Eukaryota; Fungi; Glomeromycota.